Molecule: ribosomal RNA, 513 nt
Filed under: uncultured bacterium
Lineage: Bacteria
Description: bacterial SSU rRNA
Rfam family: Bacterial small subunit ribosomal RNA
Source: RNAcentral
GGGUGAGUAACACGUGGGUAACCUGCCUUAAAGUGGGGGAUAACACUUGGAAACAGGUGCUAAUACCGCAUAACCAUCAAAACCGCCUGGUUUUGAUGUUAAAGAUGGUUCUGCUAUCGCUUUAAGAUGGACCCGCGGCGUAUUAGCUAGUUGGUGAGGUAAUGGCUUACCAAGGCAAUGAUACGUAGCCGAACUGAGAGGUUGAUCGGCCACAUUGGGACUGAGACACGGCCCAAACUCCUACGGGAGGCAGCAGUAGGGAAUCUUCCACAAUGGACGAAAGUCUGAUGGAGCAACGCCGCGUGAGUGAAGAACGUUUUCGGAUCGUAAAACUCUGUUGUCAGAGAAGAACGUGUGUGAGAGUAACUGUUCACGCAGGGACGGUAUCUGACCAGAAAGUCACGGCUAACUACGUGCCACCACCCGCGGUAAUACAUAGGUGGCAAGCGUUGUCCGGAUUUAUUGGGCGUAAAGGGAACGCAGGCGGUCUUUUAAGUCUGAUGUGAAAGCCUU